Molecule: long non-coding RNA, 1680 nt
Organism: Heterocephalus glaber (naked mole-rat)
Lineage: Eukaryota; Metazoa; Chordata; Mammalia; Rodentia; Bathyergidae
Source: Ensembl
CUUGUGUGUUCUCAAGAGGUGGGCCCAAGGGACUUUCCUAGGCCAGGUCUCUGCCCUAUGGGUGGGUCAAUCUAUGUGACAGAUGGCUUUUUGGGGGUCCUGAGAGGGAGCCUCCAUAGCCUGGCCUGUCCCCCACCAGAAUCUCAGGACUCUACCAACAAGAACACCAUUGCCAUGUACAACCCUCGACCUUGUAUCACAGCUGGGAGGCCAACAUUAACCUCUUUCCCUUACAACUUGUCCAGCUAUAGCUGCAGGAGUCUCUGGUGGAAGCUGUGGGCUCCAGGCUGAGAAGGAUGCAGACAAGCAGUGCCUAGAUGGGACCAGGAGCCCCCCUGUGACCUUCAGGAUGAGUUGCCAGGCUGGCAGGGAAUCACUUACUACUCUGGAGAGCAAAGCAUCGCACUGCACAGGUGCAGCCUAAGGACACGCAGCAGACGCUGGUGCCUUGCUGCUGUUGUCCCAAGACACAGUGCACUGCAGCCCUGGGGCAUGAUGAUGGCCAGCAGAUCCUCCUGCCUAGCGCUCGUCAUGAACAAGCCUUGAGCCAGAGGGCCAGGGCCUUACAGUAGGAAUGUUCAGAGAGAAUCCUCAGCUGGUUUGCACAGUCGGAGCACUUGAAUAUCAAACAAGAAAAAUAAGAAAGCCUGGACCUUUGAAGAAAUCAAUAACUGUGAUGUUGAAGGAGUUUGUGUAGCCACAGUCAAGAGCCCAAGUGUGUUACACACCGAGGUUGUAGUGUUGGACAGAGCCACUUUGGGGAACUUCACCACUCUCCAGCUGAUUGUAGGGGUUGUGAAAACAAAGGUGUGAGAGACUUGCACCAGAAAGGAGGCUCAGUCCUCUGGGAGCCAGGCUGUCUGGCUCUUUAGCCCAGCUUUCCUUUUCCCAUAAGGAGCUCCAGACUCAUGGGCAGUAUAGGAUGGAUGACUCAAGAUAGAGAUGCUCGAAGUCCAGGAACAGAUCCUGUAGAUCAUGAACUGAAACGAUGGAGUAAGAGAAGGAAAAGCAGACAAUGUAUCAAAGGUUUUUUGUUUCCUUAAAAUGCAGAGUUUGAGGUCCAAUGGCACCAUUUCUCAAGCACGUGGUUCCAAAGGAGGCACAAGGCACCUGUUCCAACAAAGCCGGCAGAGUGGUCAGAUGGCAUUCCUGCUGGUGGCAAAAUGUUGCCCACACUUCUGCUCUUGUGUAAAGGAGGCAGCGACUCAGCAGCAAAGCUGACACGCAGGUGGCUUUUUAGGAUUGCCUUUCAGUAUGGAGCUGCCCUCCAGCCACUGUAAUCCAAUACAGCGAGAGGAAGUCACAGGCAAACUGAGCAGCCUGGGAAUCUCUGCUUCUGGGCUGCAGGAAGCCCGAGAGCAAGGCCCAACAUCUGCACCAGGUCCACCCUAGAGACCUUUGCUCCCUCCUCAGCCUCACAUGGAGCUUUUGGAAGGCAUGAAUUGGACCCUUCUCAUGAAACGUGCUGGAGCUCAGAUUCUGACAAAAAUGAAAAGGCAUGCAGGGCUGCCCUCUGAAACAGCACUCCAGCUUCAGCCAGGGUGAAUGACUGUUUCCAAUUACCCAGGGAAGUGGUGUCCCUCAGAACACUGCUGGGCAGUGGGAGAAGUGGAGGAGGGGGAGAGAUAGGGGGAGAGAGAGACACACAGAGAAAGAGAGAGAGAGAGAGGGAGAGAGAGA